ACUGAAUUCCCCACACUGUGAAGGAUAAAGUUUUCUAAGAAGUCCUGCAGUUGGGGAAUGGAUCUGAGGCAUACCUGAAUCUUUUUGGAUUUGCCUCUCAUUCAGAAGGCCUGCUAAGAGGUCGGCAUGGAAGGGAAAGACUGAGUAAGAAGCAAAGAGGCCUGCAGCUUGUGUCCAUGCUAGGAGGGACUGCAUCUGGUUUACUGAGCAUCCUGCAUUUAACCUUCCCACCCCCAUUUAAAGGUAGCAGUGAACUUCAGGAAAAUGACUGGUGAUCACAACACAGCAAGAAGGAGAAAUGUAUAUAAAUCAUGGAACAUGGGUUUGACCCAAUAAGAAGGAAAUGGAAUAAUAUAUUUACAUUUUCAGAAGAAGGAUUUUUGCCUUCAUAAUUAAGUUAGUUAUCUUCAAUUUGAUUUUCCUGUCCAACUUCCAGCAGCGUUUUAACUGUAAAUGUCCUGAAUAAAAAACACUGUCAUAGGAAAAAUCUGGUAUUA
This 497-nucleotide long non-coding RNA is filed under the name Anser brachyrhynchus (Pink-footed goose). Its description in RNAcentral is "lncRNA (ENSABRG00000001882.1)". The record is from RNAcentral. Lineage: Eukaryota; Metazoa; Chordata; Aves; Anseriformes; Anatidae.